UACGGAGGAUGCGAGCGUUAUCCGGAUUUAUUGGGUUUAAAGGGUGCGUAGGCGGCUUUUUAAGUCAGCGGUGAAAUUUUGCAGCUUAACUGUAACAGUGCCGUUGAUACUGGGGGGCUAGGAUUUGGUUGCUGUGGGUGGAAUGUGUGGUGUAGCGGUGAAAUGCUUAGAGAUCACACAGAAUAUCGAUUGCGAAGGCAGCUCACAAAGCCAAGAUUGACGCUGAGGCACGAAAGUGUGGGGAUCAAACAGGAUUAGA
This 259-nucleotide ribosomal RNA is filed under the name uncultured prokaryote. RNAcentral's name for it is "partial 16S ribosomal RNA". It matches the Rfam family "Bacterial small subunit ribosomal RNA", at positions 524 to 782 of the family's 1533-position model. The record is from RNAcentral.